UGUUGAGGAGGAGCUGAUGCAAAUAUCUUUUCUUCUGCCUCCACUUAUCAGACUGCUCAAAGCAUGCAGGGAAUAGUGGACAGACAGUUACUCAAGAUGGAUUGUAAGACAGCGCUGAUACUUUUGACUGUCUGCUGUGCAGGUGUUGAUGGUCAGACUCUAACAGAGUCGGAACCAGCAGUUAAAAGUCCUGGAGAUUCACACAGGCUGACCUGUACAGGCUCUGGAUUCACGUUCAGCAGCUACCAUAUGGGCUGGAUCAGACAGGCUGCUGGAAAAGGACUGGAGUGGAUUGCUUUCAUUUA
This is a long non-coding RNA of Oreochromis niloticus (Nile tilapia), 305 nucleotides long. RefSeq lists it as uncharacterized. The transcript is spliced from 2 exons. The record is from RefSeq and is a predicted model, not a curated record. NCBI's taxonomy places the organism in Eukaryota, Metazoa, Chordata, Actinopteri, Cichliformes, Cichlidae.